CCCUUAGAUGUUCUGGGCCGCACGCGCGCUACGCUGAUGCAUUCAACGAGUCUAAAACCUGGUCUGAGAGGGCUGGGUAAUCUUUUGAAAGUGCAUCGUGAUUGGGAUAGAUGAUUGCAAUUCUUCAUCUUCAACGAGGAAUGCCUAGUAAACGCAAGUCAUCAGCUUGCAUUGAUUACGUCCCUGCCCUUUGUACACACCGCCCGUCGCUCCUACCGAUUGAACGAUCCGAUGAAAACUGUGGAUUGAGAGUCUGAGUGGGUUCGCCUACCUCAACUUUCGAGAAGCGGUUUAAAUCUUAUCGUUUAGAGGAAGGAGAAGUCGUAACA
RNAcentral lists this ribosomal RNA (329 nucleotides) under uncultured eukaryote. Its description in RNAcentral is "partial 18S ribosomal RNA". It matches the Rfam family "Eukaryotic small subunit ribosomal RNA", at positions 1470 to 1796 of the family's 1831-position model. The record is from RNAcentral.